Molecule: non-coding RNA, 24 nt
Filed under: Arabidopsis thaliana (thale cress)
Lineage: Eukaryota; Viridiplantae; Streptophyta; Magnoliopsida; Brassicales; Brassicaceae
Source: RNAcentral
AGCAAUCCUAGAUCUCAAAUCGCC